RNAcentral lists this ribosomal RNA (468 nucleotides) under uncultured bacterium. RNAcentral's name for it is "partial 16S ribosomal RNA". It matches the Rfam family "Bacterial small subunit ribosomal RNA", at positions 28 to 507 of the family's 1533-position model. The record is from RNAcentral.
GACGAACGCUGGCGGCGUGCUUAACACAUGCAAGUCGAACGGAAAGGCCCUGCUUUUGUGGGGUGCUCGAGUGGCGAACGGGUGAGUAACACGUGAGUAACCUGCCCUUGACUUUGGGAUAACUUCAGGAAACUGGGGCUAAUACCGGAUAGGAGCUCCUGCUGCAUGGUGGGGGUUGGAAAGUUUCGGCCGUUGGGGAUGGACUCGCGGCUUAUCGGCUUGUUGGUGGGGUAGUGGCUUACCAAGGCUUUGACGGGUAGCCGGCCUGAGAGGGUGACCGGCCACAUUGGGACUGAGAUACGGCCCAGACUCCUACGGGAGGCAGCAGUGGGGAAUAUUGCACAAUGGGCGGAAGCCUGAUGCAGCAACGCCGCGUGCGGGAUGACGGCCUUCGGGUUGUAAACCGCUUUCGCCUGUGACGAAGCGUGAGUGACGGUAAUGGGUAAAGAAGCACCGGCUAACUACGUG